UACAGAGGUCUCAAGCGUUGUUCGGAUUCAUUGGGCGUAAAGGGUGCGUAGGCGGCGCGGUAAGUCGGGUGUGAAAUCUCGGGGCUUAACUCCGAAACUGCAUUCGAUACUGCCGUGCUUGAGGACUGGAGGGGGGACUGGAAUUCUCGGUGUAGCAGUGAAAUGCGUAGAUAUCGAGAGGAACACCAGUGGCGAAGGCGAGUCCCUGGACAGGUCCUGACGCUGAGGCACGAAAGCUAGGGGAGCAAACAGG
This 253-nucleotide ribosomal RNA is filed under the name uncultured prokaryote. Its description in RNAcentral is "partial 16S ribosomal RNA". It matches the Rfam family "Bacterial small subunit ribosomal RNA", at positions 524 to 776 of the family's 1533-position model. The record is from RNAcentral.